RNAcentral lists this ribosomal RNA (468 nucleotides) under uncultured bacterium. RNAcentral describes it as "partial 16S ribosomal RNA". It matches the Rfam family "Bacterial small subunit ribosomal RNA", at positions 28 to 507 of the family's 1533-position model. The record is from RNAcentral.
GACGAACGCUGGCGGCGUGCUUAACACAUGCAAGUCGAACGGAAAGGCCCUGCUUUUGUGGGGUGCUCGAGGGGCGAACGGGUGAGUAACCCGUGAGUAACCUGCCCUUGACUUUGGGAUAACUUCAGGAAACUGGGGCUAAUACCGGAUAGGAGCUCCUGCUGCAUGGUGGGGGUUGGAAAGUUUCGGCGGUUGGGGAUGGACUCGCGGCUUAUCAGCUUGUUGGUGGGGUAGUGGCUUACCAAGGCUUUGACGGGUAGCCGGCCUGAGAGGGUCACCGGCCAAAUUGGGACGGAGCUACGGCCCAGACUACUACGGGAGGCAGCAGUGGGGAAUAGUGCACAAUGGGCUGAAGCCUGACGCAGCAACGCCGCGUGCGGGAUGACGGCCUUCGGGUUGUAUACCGCUUUCGCCUGUGACGAAGCGUGAGUGACGGUAAUGGGUAAAGAAGCACCGGCUAACUACGUG